This 19-nucleotide unclassified non-coding RNA is filed under the name Chlamydomonas reinhardtii. RNAcentral describes it as "small RNA Cre_0626". The record is from RNAcentral. Lineage: Eukaryota; Viridiplantae; Chlorophyta; Chlorophyceae; Chlamydomonadales; Chlamydomonadaceae.
AGUCCCGGUAGCGAAACCA